Molecule: ribosomal RNA, 429 nt
Filed under: Bacteroidota bacterium
Lineage: Bacteria; Pseudomonadati; Bacteroidota
Description: Bacteroidetes bacterium partial 16S ribosomal RNA
Rfam family: Bacterial small subunit ribosomal RNA
Source: RNAcentral
UAGGGAAUCUUCCGCAAUGGACGCAAGUCUGACGGAGCAACGCCGCGUGAGUGAAGAAGGAUUUCGGUUCGUAAAACUCUGUGGUUAGAGAAGAACAGCGCAUAGAGUAACUGUUAUGCGUGUGACGGUAUCUAACCAGAAAGCCACGGCUAACUACGUGCCAGCAGCCGCGGUAAUACGUAGGUGGCAAGCGCUGUCCGGAUUUAUUGGGCGUAAAGCGAGCGCAGGCGGUCAAUUAAGUCUGAUGUGAAAGCCCCCGGCUCAACCGGGGAGGGUCAUUGGAAACUGGUUGACUUGAGUGCAGAAGAGGAGAGUGGAAUUCCAUGUGUAGCGGUGAAAUGCGUAGAUAUAUGGAGGAACACCAGUGGCGAAGGCGACUCUCUGGUCUGUAACUGACGCUGAGGCUCGAAAGCGUGGGUAGCAAACAGG